UGACAGCAAAUGACCUACACAGGUGCAAGU
Molecule: non-coding RNA, 30 nt
Filed under: Mus musculus (house mouse)
Lineage: Eukaryota; Metazoa; Chordata; Mammalia; Rodentia; Muridae
Source: RNAcentral